CAAAAACAUGUCCUUUAGAAAAUUAUUUAAGGUCUGACCUGCCCACUGAAAAAUUAAAUGGCCGCAGUAUUUUAACUGUGCAAAGGUAGCAUAAUCAUUAGUCUUUUAAUUGAAGGCUUGUAUGAAUGGUUGGACGAAACGUGAGCUGUAUCAAGAGAAUUUAUAUUAGAAUUUUAUUUUUCAUUAAAAAAGAUGAAAUAGAAUUUAAAGACGAGAAGACCCUAUAGAUUUUUAUAAAUUAAAAUAACAUAAUUAUUUAGAAUUUUAUAUUUAUGUUAUUUAUGUUUAUUUUAUUGGGGUGAUGUAAAAAUUUGUUAAACUUUUUUUUUAUUAUUACAUUAAUUUAUGAAUGUUUGAUCCAUUAGUAGUGAUUAUAAGUUUAAAUUACCUUAGGGAUAACAGCGUAAUUUCUUUGGAGAGUUCUUAUCGAUAAAGAAGGUUGCGACCUCGAUGUUGGAUUAAAAUUAAUGUUGGGUGUAGAAGUUCAAUUUUUAAGUCUGUUCGACCUUUAAUUU
This 515-nucleotide ribosomal RNA is filed under the name Scenopinus schulzi. RNAcentral's name for it is "partial 16S ribosomal RNA". It matches the Rfam family "Bacterial large subunit ribosomal RNA", at positions 1808 to 2596 of the family's 2925-position model. The record is from RNAcentral. Lineage: Eukaryota; Metazoa; Arthropoda; Insecta; Diptera; Scenopinidae.